GUGGGGAAUUUUGGACAAUGGGCGCAAGCCUGAUCCAGCAAUGCCGCGUGUGUGAAGAAGGCCUUCGGGUUGUAAAGCACUUUUGGCAGGAAAGAAAUAGUGCGUGCUAAUACCAUGCGCGAAUGACGGUACCUGCAGAAUAAGCACCGGCUAACUACGUGCCAGCAGCCGCGGUAAGACGUAGGGUGCAAGCGUUAAUCGGAAUUACUGGGCGUAAAGCGUGCGCAGGCGGUUUUGUAAGACAGGUGUGAAAUCCCCGGGCUCAACCUGGGAACUGCACUUGUGACUGCAAGGCUAGAGUGUGUCAGAGGGAGGUGGAAUUCCGCGUGUAGCAGUGAAAUGCGUAGAGAUGCGGAGGAACACCGAUGGCGAAGGCAGCCUCCUGGGAUAACACUGACGCUCAGGCACGAAAGCGUGGGGAGCAAACAGGAUUAGAUACCCGGGUAGUCC
RNAcentral lists this ribosomal RNA (450 nucleotides) under uncultured bacterium. Its description in RNAcentral is "bacterial SSU rRNA". It matches the Rfam family "Bacterial small subunit ribosomal RNA", at positions 354 to 796 of the family's 1533-position model. The record is from RNAcentral.